GUGAAUCAUCAAAUUUUUGAACGCAAAUUGCACUCUCCUCGGAGAGUAUGCCUGUUUGAGGGUCAGCCUAAAAAAAAUUAACAUAGUUGCUGUUUCGCGGUGACAUUCGUCGUAAAUUGGGUCAUCUUAAACCUUUGGGUUUUAAUCGGCUUAAAAUUUUCUUUACGAUUCUACGAACGUUUCUAAGAUUUACUUCUUACACGUUUAAGGUAUCGAUCUUUAUUAGACCUUGCCGUUGCAUCGGAUCACGUCCAUAAAUAUUUCGUUAACUGACCUCACACAUGUAAGAACACCCUCUGAA
RNAcentral lists this unclassified non-coding RNA (301 nucleotides) under Glomus sp. Its description in RNAcentral is "partial contains 5.8S ribosomal RNA and internal transcribed spacer 2". The stretch from base 1 to 65 matches the Rfam family "5.8S ribosomal RNA", at positions 84 to 154 of the family's 154-position model. The record is from RNAcentral. Lineage: Eukaryota; Fungi; Glomeromycota; Glomeromycetes; Glomerales; Glomeraceae.